Molecule: ribosomal RNA, 108 nt
Filed under: Salmonella enterica
Lineage: Bacteria; Pseudomonadati; Pseudomonadota; Gammaproteobacteria; Enterobacterales; Enterobacteriaceae
Also listed under: 1 other name
Source: RNAcentral
CACUAGCGCGGUGGUCCCACCUGACCCCAUGCCGAACUCAGAAGUGAAACGCCGUAGCGCCGAUGGUAGUGUGGGGUCUCCCCAUGCGAGAGUAGGGAACUGCCAGAC